Molecule: long non-coding RNA, 291 nt
Filed under: Mytilus galloprovincialis (Mediterranean mussel)
Lineage: Eukaryota; Metazoa; Mollusca; Bivalvia; Mytilida; Mytilidae
Source: RNAcentral
GACGAAAAUUUUCAACUUGGCUAUCAUGUGUAAAAUCAGACAAGUGUUCGGUAAACAGGAAGUUGUCAAGUGAUGAAUCUGAAAACGCAUCACACGGUAUGGCUGACAUAUAUAAAUGUUGAUACCAAAUUACAGAAAGGGUGGAUGUGUAGUUCCUGAGAAAAAUGUGACGAAAGUUUCAUGGGACGGACUGACUGACGGACGGACUGAUGGACGGACGGACUGACAGACAGAGGUAAAACAGUAUACCCCCCCUUUUUUAAAGCGGGGGUAUAAUUAAGUGAGUACAAU